GACGAACGCUGGCGGCGUGCUUAACACAUGCAAGUCGUACGGUAAGGCCCUUUCGGGGGUACACGAGUGUCGAACGGGGGAGUAACACGUGAGUAACCUUCCCACACCUUUGGGAUAACGCUAGGAAACUGGUGCUAAUACUAGAUAUGUGCUCCUGCUGCAUGGUGGGGGUUGGAAAGCUCCGGCGGGUGUGGGUGGACCCGCAGGCUAUCUGCUUGCUGGUGGGGUAGUGGGCUACCAAGGCGGCGACGGGUAGCCGGCCUGAGAGGGUGACCGGCCACAUUGGGACUGAGAUACGGCCCAGACACCUACGGGAGGGAGCAGUGGGGAAGAUUGCACAAGGGGCGCCAGCCUGAUGAAGAAAGGCCGCGUGCGGGAUGACGGCCUUCGGGUUGUAAACCGCAUUCAGCAGGGACGAAGCUUUUUGUGACGGUACCUGCAGAAGAAGCACCGGCUAACUACGUG
Molecule: ribosomal RNA, 465 nt
Filed under: uncultured bacterium
Lineage: Bacteria
Description: partial 16S ribosomal RNA
Rfam family: Bacterial small subunit ribosomal RNA
Source: RNAcentral